GCGUCCAUGCGGCCAGGAACAUACCGUCCUACAGACAGCAAGUUCCGAAUGGAUAGUUCCGAAGACACCGUAUGGAAGGAUCUCUGAACAGUUUUUAUGCACUGGGCAUUUAGAUGUGCUGCCACGAAUAAUUGCGGGGUUCAGAGACGAGCAGAGGACAGUUUACAGAGGUCUUCUAUCAGAAAUUAAAGAUACUUCAAAUUGUAGAUGGCCGGGAUAAUAAUAUAUUAUUUGAAGUUAUACGAAAAUGGAAGAUGCCCAUGUGGCCGCUCUGGAUAAUUGAAUUAUAGUUCUAAUUGAUAUUCUAUGUACAGUGUUGUAGUUAAAAAGGAUGGUGACACAGGAGCUGAU
This is a long non-coding RNA of Hyla sarda, 351 nucleotides long. RefSeq lists it as uncharacterized. The record is from RefSeq and is a predicted model, not a curated record. The transcript has 3 exons. NCBI's taxonomy places the organism in Eukaryota, Metazoa, Chordata, Amphibia, Anura, Hylidae.